RNAcentral lists this ribosomal RNA (253 nucleotides) under uncultured bacterium. RNAcentral describes it as "partial 16S ribosomal RNA". It matches the Rfam family "Bacterial small subunit ribosomal RNA", at positions 524 to 776 of the family's 1533-position model. The record is from RNAcentral.
UACGUAGGGGGCAAGCGUUGUCCGGAUUUAUUGGGCGUAAAGAGCGUGUAGGCGGCUAGGUAGGUCCGUUGUGAAAACUCGAGGCUCAACCUCGAGACGCCGAUGGAAACCAUCUAGCUAGAGUCCGGAAGAGGAGAGUGGAAUUCCUGGUGUAGCGGUGAAAUGCGCAGAUAUCAGGAAGAACACCCGUGGCUAAGGCGGCUCUCUGGGCCGAUACUGACGCUGAGGAGCGAAAGCGUGGGGAGCGAACAGG